CGCGCCGCUGGCCACCGCCGCCAUCAGCCCUCGCGCGUGGCCCCGCGCCACACGAGAUCCGCCCGCAAGAGCCACUGGAAAAGGCCCCACCACCGCCGUCCGCCGGGCGGGCUUUGCCCGCCGGCUUCCUCCGACGAUGGCGAGGGGAGACGAGGACCCGGGGGGAAGGGGACGGCGGCGGCUAGGGUUUCGCCCGAGCCGCCCCCGAGAGCGACGCGGGCGCAGGGGCGCAGGAGCUAUCUACGCAGAGCUCAUGUGAAG
RNAcentral lists this long non-coding RNA (261 nucleotides) under Brachypodium distachyon (stiff brome). RNAcentral describes it as "long non-coding RNA (BDIS_LNC000926)". Lineage: Eukaryota; Viridiplantae; Streptophyta; Magnoliopsida; Poales; Poaceae. The record is from RNAcentral.